This 115-nucleotide transfer RNA is filed under the name Arabidopsis thaliana (thale cress). RNAcentral describes it as "ATSL101800". Lineage: Eukaryota; Viridiplantae; Streptophyta; Magnoliopsida; Brassicales; Brassicaceae. The record is from RNAcentral.
UCAAAAAUAGGAAAAAGAAGAUCCGACCUGCCGGAAUCGAACCAGCGACCUAAAGAUUAUCUGUUUUAAACAACUACAGUCUUCCGCUCUACCAACUGAGCUAAGGUCGGAUGAU